RNAcentral lists this ribosomal RNA (253 nucleotides) under uncultured bacterium. RNAcentral describes it as "partial 16S ribosomal RNA". It matches the Rfam family "Bacterial small subunit ribosomal RNA", at positions 524 to 776 of the family's 1533-position model. The record is from RNAcentral.
UACGUAGGGUGCGAGCGGUAAUCGGAAUUACUGGGCGUAAAGCGUGCGCAGGCGGUUCGCCAAGUCAGGUGUGAAAUCCCCGGGCUUAACCUGGGAAUUGCGCUUGAAACUAGCGGGCUUGAGUGUGGCAGAGGGGGGUGGAAUUCCACGUGUAGCAGUGAAAUGCGUAGAGAUGUGGAGGAACACCGAUGGCGAAGGCAGCCCCCUGGGUCAACACUGACGCUCAUGCACGAAAGCGUGGGGAGCAAACAGG